RNAcentral lists this long non-coding RNA (241 nucleotides) under Capsella rubella. Its description in RNAcentral is "long non-coding RNA (CRUB_LNC000880)". The record is from RNAcentral. Lineage: Eukaryota; Viridiplantae; Streptophyta; Magnoliopsida; Brassicales; Brassicaceae.
GCGCAGUUUGGGGGCCCGCAGGAGAGAGGUUAGGGUCGAUGCGCUGCAGCGCUGUAAGGAUGCCAUGUGGCGGGGUUUGCCACAUGGCGGAGUGUUCCCACGGGGCAAGGUGUUACAAAAUAAAUGGUAACAAAAAAUAUGUAUUUUUUUUAAUUUUUUCUUUUCUUCAAAUAAAUUCAAAAAUUUCAAGUAGUAAAAUGGAAUAACAUUUUUAUUUUUAUUUUCUGAUUUUAUAAAAAUA